RNAcentral lists this ribosomal RNA (2146 nucleotides) under Legionella pneumophila. RNAcentral's name for it is "partial 23S ribosomal RNA". It matches the Rfam family "Bacterial large subunit ribosomal RNA", at positions 1 to 2166 of the family's 2925-position model. Lineage: Bacteria; Pseudomonadati; Pseudomonadota; Gammaproteobacteria; Legionellales; Legionellaceae. The record is from RNAcentral.
GGUCAAGAAGAGAAGCGCAAACGGUGGAUGCCUUGGCAGUAAGAGGCGAAGAAGGACGUGGAAUCCUGCGAAAAGCUAUGGGGAGCUGGAAACGAGCGUUGAGCCAUAGAUGUCCGAAUGGGGGAACCCGGCUGCAGCGAUGCGGUCAUUUGCAUUUGAAUACAUAGGAUGCAAAGGCGAACUCGGGGAACUGAAACAUCUAAGUACCCGAAGGAAAAGAAAUCAAGAGAGAUUCUCCAAGUAGCGGCGAGCGAACGGGGAGGAGCCUGGCGUGAUUUAUUAUUGAACUGAGUAGAACAAUUUGGGAAAGUUGGCGAUAGAGGGUGAAAGCCCCGUAUACGAAGGUUUGAUGAGGAACUAGGCACGCGAACAAGUAGGCCGGGACACGUGAAAUCCUGGUUGAAGAUGGGUGGACCAUCAUCCAAGGCUAAAUACUACUUACUGACCGAUAGUGAACCAGUACCGUGAGGGAAAGGUGAAAAGAACCCCGGAGAGGGGAGUGAAAUAGAAUCUGAAACCGUUUGCGUACAAGCAGUGGGAGCAUGGUUUAGGCUGUGUGACUGCGUACCUUUUGUAUAAUGGGUCAGCGAGUUACUUUCAGUGGCGAGGUUAACUGCAUAAGGGAGCCGUAGAGAAAUCGAGUCUGAAUAGGGCGAUAGUCGCUGGGAGUAGACCCGAAACCGGGCGAUCUAGCCAUGUGCAGGAUGAAGGUUGGGUAACACCAACUGGAGGUCCGAACCGGGUAAUGUUGAAAAAUUAUCGGAUGACGUGUGGCUAGGAGUGAAAGGCUAAUCAAGCCCGGAGAUAGCUGGUUCUCCCCGAAAGCUAUUUAGGUAGCGCCUCGUGAAUGAUUACUGGGGGUAGAGCACUGUUUCGGCUAGGGGGCUGUCAUGGCUUACCAAACCGAUGCAAACUCCGAAUACCGGCUAAUUGAAUCACGGGAGACACACGGCGGGUGCUAACGUCCGUCGUGGAGAGGGAAACAACCCAGACCGCCAGCUAAGGUCCCCAAGUACUAGUUAAGUGGGAAACGAUGUGGGAAGGCAUAGACAGCCAGGAGGUUGGCUUAGAAGCAGCCACCCUUUAAAGAAAGCGUAAUAGCUCACUGGUCGAGUCGGCCUGCGCGGAAGAUGUAACGGGGCUAAAACUAGUCACCGAAGCUGCGGAUGUGCGCGAAGGCGCACGUGGUAGGGGAGCGUUCUGUAGGCUGAUGAAGGUGCAUUGAGAAGUGUGCUGGAGGUAUCAGAAGUGCGAAUGCUGACAUGAGUAACGAUAAUGUGGGUGAAAAGCCCACACGCCGGAAGUCCCAGGUUUCCUGCACGACGUUAAUCGGAGCAGGGUGAGUCGGCCCCUAAGGCGAGGCUGAAGAGCGUAGUCGAUGGGAACCAGGUUAAUAUUCCUGGACUUUUUAUAAGUGGUGAAGUGGGGACGAAGAAGGCUAGGUGAGCCAGGCGUUGGUUGUCCUGGUACUUGCAUGUAGGGGGGAAGACUUGGCAAAUCCGGUUUUCCAUAACUCUGAGGUGCGAAGUGGUUCUGACCUUUUGGUACAGAGAAGUCAUUGAUGCCCGGCUUCCAGGAAAAGCUGCUAGCCAUAACUUAUAGAGAACCGUACCGCAAACCGACACAGGUGGACAGGUAGAGAAUACUAAGGCGCUUGAGAGAACUCGGGUGAAGGAACUAGGCAAAAUGGUACCGUAACUUCGGGAGAAGGUACGCCCUUUCUGGUGAUGGGAUUUACUUUCAGAGCUGGAGAGGGCCGCAGAGACCAGGUGGCUGCGACUGUUUAUUAAAAACACAGCACUCUGCAAAUUCGUAAGAAGACGUAUAGGGUGUGACGCCUGCCCGGUGCCGGAAGGUUAAUUGAUGGGGUUAUCUUCGGAGAAGCUCUUGAUCGAAGCCCCGGUAAACGGCGGCCGUAACUAUAACGGUCCUAAGGUAGCGAAAUUCCUUGUCGGGUAAGUUCCGACCUGCACGAAUGGCGUAACGAUGGCCACACUGUCUCCACCCGAGACUCAGUGAAAUUGAAAUCGCUGUGAAGAUGCAGUGUACCCGCGGCUAGACGGAAAGACCCCGUGAACCUUUACUAUAGUUUUGCACUGGACUUUGAUGAUGACUGUGUAGGAUAGGUGGGAGGCUGUGAAGUGAG